RNAcentral lists this ribosomal RNA (440 nucleotides) under uncultured bacterium. RNAcentral's name for it is "partial 16S ribosomal RNA". It matches the Rfam family "Bacterial small subunit ribosomal RNA", at positions 338 to 795 of the family's 1533-position model. The record is from RNAcentral.
CCUACGGGAGGCAGCAGUGGGGGAUAUUGCACAAUGGGGGAAACCCUGAUGCAGCGACGCCGCGUGUGGGAAGACGGUCCUCUGGAUUGUAAACCACUGUCCCCAGGGACGAAGAUGACGGUACCUGGGGAGGAAGCUCCGGCUAACUACGUGCCAGCAGCCGCGGUAAUACGUAGGGAGCGAGCGUUGUCCGGAAUUACUGGGUGAAAAGGGAGCAUAGGCGGGACUGCAAGUUGGGUGUCAAAUCUACCGGCUCAACCGGUAGCCGCACUCAAAACUGCAGUUCUUGAGUGAAGUAGAGGCAGGCGGAAUGCCUAGUGUAGCGGUGAAAUGCGUAGAUAUUAGGAGGAACACCAGUGGCGAAGGCGGCCUGCUGGGCUUUUACUGACGCUGAGGCUCGAAAGUGUGGGGAGCAAACAGGAUUAGAUACCCGAGUAGUC